UCGAGAAUCAUUCGCAAUGGGCGCAAGCCUGACGGUGCGACGUCGCGUGGAGGAUGAAGGUCUUCGGAUUGUAAACUCCUGUCAUGUGGGAUAAAUGGUCCGGGCGUGAAUAGCGCCUGGAAAUGAUAGUACCACAGGAGGAAGAGACGGCUAACUCUGUGCCAGCAGCCGCGGUAAUACAGAGGUCUCGAGCGUUGUUCGGAUUUACUGGGCGUAAAGGGAGCGUAGGCGGUUUGGUGUGUCGAAUGUGAAAGCCCACAACUCAACUGUGGAAUGGCAUUCGAAACGACCGAGCUAGAGUACUGGAGAGGAGAGCGGAAUUCUUGGUGUAGCGGUGAAAUGCGUAGAUAUCAAGAGGAACACCGGUGGCGAAGGCGGCUCUCUGGACAGAUACUGACGCUGAGGCUCUAAAGUUAGGGGAGCAAACA
RNAcentral lists this ribosomal RNA (428 nucleotides) under uncultured prokaryote. RNAcentral's name for it is "bacterial SSU rRNA". It matches the Rfam family "Bacterial small subunit ribosomal RNA", at positions 355 to 774 of the family's 1533-position model. The record is from RNAcentral.